RNAcentral lists this ribosomal RNA (413 nucleotides) under uncultured bacterium. RNAcentral's name for it is "bacterial SSU rRNA". It matches the Rfam family "Bacterial small subunit ribosomal RNA", at positions 202 to 600 of the family's 1533-position model. The record is from RNAcentral.
GCAGGGGACCUUCGGGCCUUGCGCUAUCAGAUGAGCCCAGGUCGGAUUAGCUAGUAGGUGAGGUAAAGGCUCACCUAGGCGACGAUCCGUAGCUGGUCUGAGAGGAUGAUCAGCCACACUGGAACUGAGACACGGUCCAGACUCCUACGGGAGGCAGCAGUGGGGAAUAUUGGACAAUGGGCGAAAGCCUGAUCCAGCCAUGCCGCGUGUGUGAAGAAGGCCUUCGGGUUGUAAAGCACUUUAAGCGGGGAGGAAGGGCUUCUGGCUAAUAUCCAGGAGCAUUGACGUUACCCGCAGAAUAAGCACCGGCUAACUCUGUGCCAGCAGCCGCGGUAAUACAGAGGGUGCAAGCGUUAAUCGGAAUUACUGGGCGUAAAGCGCGCGUAGGCGGUUUGUUAAGUCGGAUGUGAAAU